AGGCUGAGCCUGAUGGCACUGAGGUGGCUGAUAAAAUCGCCUACCUCAUUGGCCUGAACUCAGCCGACAUGC
RNAcentral lists this microRNA precursor (72 nucleotides) under Ictalurus punctatus (channel catfish). Its description in RNAcentral is "microRNA ipu-mir-7573 precursor". The record is from miRBase by way of RNAcentral. Lineage: Eukaryota; Metazoa; Chordata; Actinopteri; Siluriformes; Ictaluridae.